AAUGAACGCUGGCGGCGUGCUUAACACAUGCAAGUCGUACGAGAACGCUUCAGCUUGCUGAAGCAAGUAAAGUGGCGCACGGGUGAGUAACGCGUGGGUAAUCUACCUUCGAAUCGGGGAUAACUCGCCGAAAGGCGUGCUAAUACCGGAUGAUAUCUUUGUUACUUUGGUAACGAAGAUCAAGGGUGGCCUCUUCAUGAAAGCUACUGUUUGAAGAUGAGCCCGCGUACCAUUAGCUAGUUGGUAGGGUAAUGGCCUACCAAGGCGACGAUGGUUAGCUGGUCUGAGAGGAUGAUCAGCCACACUGGAACUGACACACGGUCCAGACUCCUACAGGAGGCAGCAGUGAGGAAUUUUGCGCAAUGGGGGCAACCCUGACGCAGCAACGCCGCGUGAGUGAAGAAGGCUUUCGGGUCGUAAAACUCUGUCAAGUGGGAAGAACCUGCAAUAUACCAAUACUAUAUUGCACUGACGGUACCACUGAAGAAGCACCGCUAACU
This 500-nucleotide ribosomal RNA is filed under the name uncultured bacterium. RNAcentral describes it as "bacterial SSU rRNA". It matches the Rfam family "Bacterial small subunit ribosomal RNA", at positions 29 to 502 of the family's 1533-position model. The record is from RNAcentral.